This 256-nucleotide ribosomal RNA is filed under the name uncultured bacterium. RNAcentral describes it as "partial 16S ribosomal RNA". It matches the Rfam family "Bacterial small subunit ribosomal RNA", at positions 524 to 776 of the family's 1533-position model. The record is from RNAcentral.
UACAGAGGUCCCGAGCGUUGUUCGGAUUUAUUGGGCGUAAAGGGUGCGUAGGCGGCGGAGUAAGUUGGGGUGUGAAAUCCCGGGGCUUUAACCUCGGAAUUGCAUUCAAUACUGCUUCGCUUGAGUACUGGAGAGGAGGCUGGAAUUUACGGGUGUAGCAGUGAAAUGCGUAGAUAUCGUAAGGAAGGCCGGUGGCGAAAGCGAGCCUCUGGACAGUUACUGACGCUGAUGCACGAAGGCCAGGGGAGCAAACGGG